RNAcentral lists this ribosomal RNA (504 nucleotides) under uncultured bacterium. RNAcentral describes it as "partial 16S ribosomal RNA". It matches the Rfam family "Bacterial small subunit ribosomal RNA", at positions 30 to 523 of the family's 1533-position model. The record is from RNAcentral.
AUUGAACGCUGGCGGCAGGCCUAACACAUGCAAGUCGAACGGUAGCACAGAGAGCUUGCUCUCGGGUGACGAGUGGUGGACGGGUGAGUAACGUCUGGGAAACUGCCCGAUGGAGGGGGAUAACUACUGGAAACGGUAGCUAAUACCGCAUAGCGUCGCAAGACCAAAGCGGGGGACCUUCGGGCCUCACACCAUCGGAUGUGCCCAGAUGGGAUUAGCUAGUAGGUGGGGUAAUGGCUCACCUAGGCGACGAUCCCUAGCUGGUCUGAGAGGAUGACCAGCCACACUGGAACUGAGACACGGUCCAGACUCCUACGGGAGGCAGCAGUGGGGAAUAUUGCACAAUGGGCGCAAGCCUGAUGCAGCCAUGCCGCGUGUAUGAAGAAGGCCUUCGGGUUGUAAAGUACUUUCAGCGGGGAGGAAGGCGGUGAAGUUAAUAACUUCACCGAUUGACGUUACCCGCAGAAGAAGCACCGGCUAACUCCGUGCCAGCAGCCGCGGUAA